RNAcentral lists this ribosomal RNA (490 nucleotides) under uncultured bacterium. Its description in RNAcentral is "partial 16S ribosomal RNA". It matches the Rfam family "Bacterial small subunit ribosomal RNA", at positions 28 to 507 of the family's 1533-position model. The record is from RNAcentral.
GAUGAACGCUAGCGAUAGGCUUAACACAUGCAAGUCGAGGGGCAGCAUGGUCUUAGCUUGCUAAGGCUGAUGGCGACCGGCGCACGGGUGCGUAACGCGUAUGCAACUUGCCUCACAGAGGGGGAUAACCCGUCGAAAGGCGGACUAAUACCGCGUACACUCUAUGUUGGGCAUCCAAUGUAGAGGAAAUGAAAUUCGCUGUGAGAUAGGCAUGCGUCCCAUUAGCUAGUUGGUGAGGUAACGGCUCACCAAGGCGACGAUGGGUAGGGGAACUGAGAGGUUGAACCCCCACACUGGUACUGAGACACGGACCAGACUCCUACGGGAGGCAGCAGUGAGGAAUAUUGGUCAAUGGGCGAGAGCCUGAACCAGCCAAGUCGCGUGAAGGAUGACUGUCUUAUGGAUUGUAAACUUCUUUUAUACGGGAAUAACAAGAGUCACGUGUGGCUCCCUGCAUGUACCGUAUGAAUAAGCAUCGGCUAACUCCGUG